Non-coding RNA from Acanthosepion pharaonis, 106 nucleotides. Lineage: Eukaryota; Metazoa; Mollusca; Cephalopoda; Sepiida; Sepiidae. The record is from the annotation of a GenBank genome assembly.
UUGCGGCCAUAUCACGUGAAAAAAACGGUUCUCGUCCGAUCACCGAAAUGAUGUGCUUGGUCAGUACCUAGAUGAGUGAACGCUUGGGAAUACCAGGUGCUGUAAG